GACGAACGCUGGCGGCGUGCCUAAUACAUGCAAGUUGAGCGCUGAAGGUUGGUACUUGUACCGACUGGAUGAGCAGCGAACGGGUGAGUAACGCGUGGGGAAUCUGCCUUUGAGCGGGGGACAACAUUUGGAAACGAAUGCUAAUACCGCAUAAAAACUUUAAACACAAGUUUUAAGUUUGAAAGAUGCAAUUGCAUCACUCAAAGAUGAUCCCGCGUUGUAUUAGCUAGUUGGUGAGGUAAAGGCUCACCAAGGCGAUGAUACAUAGCCGACCUGAGAGGGUGAUCGGCCACAUUGGGACUGAGACACGUCCCAAACUCCUACGGGAGGCAGCAGUAGGGAAUCUUCGGCAAUGGACGAAAGUCUGACCGAGCAACGCCGCGUGAGUGAAGAAGGUUUUCGGAUCGUAAAACUCUGUUGGUAGAGAAGAACGUUGGUGAGAGUGGAAAGCUCAUCAAGUGACGGUAACUACCCAGAAAGGGACGGCUAACUACGUG
This 497-nucleotide ribosomal RNA is filed under the name uncultured bacterium. Its description in RNAcentral is "partial 16S ribosomal RNA". It matches the Rfam family "Bacterial small subunit ribosomal RNA", at positions 28 to 507 of the family's 1533-position model. The record is from RNAcentral.